UAAAUCCCAUUAUCCAGGAGGGUCCUGAAAACUUAAAAACUAAAUCCCAUUAUCCAGGAGAGUCCUGAAAACUUAAGCACUAAAUCCCAUUAUCCAGGCGGGUCCUGAACACUUAAAACUAAAUCCCAUUAUCCAGGCGGGUCCUGAAAACUCCUAAUUGGAUUCUAUCUCAAACAUGCAAACUUUUAAGUCAACUUAUAUUCCUUUGGGGUACAUUUAUGCCAGAUUAUGCUACCCACGUUGUUUUGAAUUUUAAACUAAGUCCCAUUUUCCAGGAGGGUCCUGUGAAUUUCAAAUUAAAUCCCAUUAUCCAGGUGGGUCCUGAAAAUCACAAGUCAACCUGUCUGGUGCUUGCCUUUCCCCGACGGAGGAUUUCUCCGGAACAAACAAAAUUUUCUGCCCCUGUUUCAAAUCAAAGAAAAAUUUUAUCAGUUUAAAAUAUGGUGGUUAGUUCGUGGCCUUGACUUUGAGGGCAGUUGCUCUUUUACCUCUCAUGAUAACUGAUUUCCACCCGAAGACCUUGCUUGUUCCUUGACUAAUCACUUUCUCUGCCAUCCUUAUCACAGAAAAUACCUCUUCUCCGUUCAGACCCAAUACCCUCUAUCUGUUGCAUUACUCAUGAACUGACAUUUACCAACCUUUAUGUCUCACAUGAAUCCCAAAGCACGUCAAUUACCAUACACUCAAUGUGCAUGAUGUUCUUUCCUGACUUAACCCACCGGCAUUGGCCUUGAGGUCUAUUGCUUCUUCACUUGCCCUGAUAACUUUGAUUUCUGCCUGGAAGACCUUGCUUGUCACUGGUUAAACACUUUCUUUGUUAAUCUUAUCACAGAAAAUACCUUUGAUCCGUUCACCCUACACCCUCCAUCUGUUGCAUUGUUCAUGAAUUGAUAUAUACCAAACCUUUGUAUUUUACAUGAAUCUCAAAACAUGUUGAUUUUUACCAACUCAGUGCGCACAUUGUUCUUUCCUAACUUAUACCACUUUGAUGUGCUGGCCAGAUCCCGUUUUGUGCAAUUAGAAAGUUGGUGGCAAAUUUUGAAGUCAUUUCUCACUUAUUUUGA
This 1064-nucleotide long non-coding RNA is filed under the name Nicotiana tabacum (common tobacco). RNAcentral's name for it is "long non-coding RNA (NTAB_LNC014844)". The record is from RNAcentral. Lineage: Eukaryota; Viridiplantae; Streptophyta; Magnoliopsida; Solanales; Solanaceae.